RNAcentral lists this long non-coding RNA (217 nucleotides) under Mytilus galloprovincialis (Mediterranean mussel). Lineage: Eukaryota; Metazoa; Mollusca; Bivalvia; Mytilida; Mytilidae. The record is from RNAcentral.
CGAACACUUGUAUGAUUUUACACAUGAUAGUCAAGUUGAAAAUUUUCGUCACAUUUUUCUCAGGAACUACAAUACAAGGAUUUCUGAAAUUUGGUUUCAGGAUUUAUAAAGGUCAGCUAUACCGUGUGAUGCGUUUUCAGAUUCAUCACUCGACAACUUCCUGUUUACCGAACACUUGCAUAUUUUUACAUUAUUAAUAUUAUCCACUUGCGGCGGG